CAGUCGCCACGGUAAUAUGUAGGUGGCAAGCGUUGUCCGGAAUUAUUGGGCGUAAAGGGCUCGCAGGCGGUCUCUUAAGUCUGAUGUGAAAGCCCCCGGCUCAACCGGGGAGGGUCAUUGGAAACUGGGAAACUUGAGUGCAGAAGAGGAGAGUGGAAUGCCACGUGUAGCGGUGAAAUGCGUAGAGAUGUGGAGGAACACCAGUGGCGAAGGCGACUCUCUGGUCCGUAACUGACGCUGAGGAGCGAAAGCGUGGGGAGCGAACAGGAUUAGAUACCCCCGUAGUCCUGUCUCUUAUACA
RNAcentral lists this ribosomal RNA (301 nucleotides) under uncultured bacterium. RNAcentral's name for it is "partial 16S ribosomal RNA". It matches the Rfam family "Bacterial small subunit ribosomal RNA", at positions 509 to 809 of the family's 1533-position model. The record is from RNAcentral.